GGAAUCUUCGGCAAUGGACGAAAGUCUGACCGAGCAACGCCGCGUGAGUGAAGAGGGUUUUCGGAUCGUAAAACUCUGUUGGUAGAGAAGAACGUUGGUGAGAGUGGAAAGCUCAUCAAGUGACGGUAACUACCCAGAAAGGGACGGCUAACUACGUGCCAG
RNAcentral lists this ribosomal RNA (162 nucleotides) under uncultured bacterium. Its description in RNAcentral is "partial 16S rRNA". It matches the Rfam family "Bacterial small subunit ribosomal RNA", at positions 358 to 511 of the family's 1533-position model. The record is from RNAcentral.